UAAGUACUCCCUCCGUCUGGAAAUACUUCUCACCAAAAUGGAUAAAAGAGGAUGUAUCAAGACAUAUUUUAGUUUUAGAUACAUCUCUUUUUAUCCAUUUUGAUGACAAGUAUUUUCGGACCGAGUACCUU
Molecule: non-coding RNA, 131 nt
Organism: Triticum urartu
Lineage: Eukaryota; Viridiplantae; Streptophyta; Magnoliopsida; Poales; Poaceae
Source: Rfam